RNAcentral lists this ribosomal RNA (267 nucleotides) under uncultured bacterium. RNAcentral's name for it is "partial 16S ribosomal RNA". It matches the Rfam family "Bacterial small subunit ribosomal RNA", at positions 793 to 1055 of the family's 1533-position model. The record is from RNAcentral.
GUCCACGCUGUAAACGGUGGGUACUAGGUGUGGGGUCCAUUCCACGGGUUCCGUGCCGUAGCUAACGCUUUAAGUACCCCGCCUGGGGAGUACGGCCGCAAGGCUAAAACUCAAAGGAAUUGACGGGGCCCCGCACAAGCGGCGGAGCAUGCGGAUUAAUUCGAUGCAACGCGUAGAACCUUACCUGGGUUUGACAUGGAUCGGGAGUGCUCAGAGAUGGGGUGUGCCUCUUUUGGGGUCGGUUCACAGGUGGUGCAUGGCUGUCGU